UGAGAGACUGUCUUCUCCUUUAAUACUUUCAGGAGGUAUGUCUCUCUUUAUCUCACAGAUGAGGAAACAGGGUGAAUUUCCUGCCCAAGUUCACACAGCCCAAAUGCAGUGAAACUCAGCUCCACUGGUUCUGGGCCAUUCCCCCCACUUCACCUCGCGCAGUGCCAGGCUAGCUUCUCUUAAACUGUUAAUUUCUAUCAGUUUCAGCUGACUCCCCCUUUCCUCCCUCCCCAGAGGACCUAGAGCAGACACAACCCCUGAAUUCAUGUGCAUGGAAUAGAAGUGUGGUGCCUUGCCUCUGCCAGUUCUGGGACUUCUCGGUUGACAGAUGUGGAGACCCAGAGUCAAGGAAUGAUGUACCCCAGAACCCCUGGGGAAUUCGACACAACCAGAGCGAGCACCCAGCUGCCAUCAUGCCCAGUCUAAGGCUGCGUCACUCCAGAGGGCUUCCUUUCCCAAUGAAUUAAAGCUGAUUUGAAGGGUAAAAGAGUCUAAAAACAUACCAUUAUCUGAAGAACAACUUUAACACAUGUAAAUAGAGGCCCAAAGAUUUUUAUCGCUAUUUUCAGUUGAACACAAAU
Molecule: long non-coding RNA, 581 nt
Organism: Sapajus apella (tufted capuchin)
Lineage: Eukaryota; Metazoa; Chordata; Mammalia; Primates; Cebidae
Exons: 2
Source: RefSeq, a predicted model, not a curated record